RNAcentral lists this ribosomal RNA (209 nucleotides) under Thalassiosira antarctica. RNAcentral describes it as "partial Eukaryotic large subunit ribosomal RNA". It matches the Rfam family "Eukaryotic large subunit ribosomal RNA", at positions 2978 to 3188 of the family's 3401-position model. Lineage: Eukaryota; Bacillariophyta; Thalassiosirophyceae; Thalassiosirales; Thalassiosiraceae. The record is from RNAcentral.
ACAGGUUAGUUUUACCCUACUGAUGAGUGUUGUUGCAACAGUAAUCCAAGGUAGUACGAGAGGAACUCUUGGUUCAGAUAAUUGGUAUUGCCCCUGGCUGAAAAGCCAAAGGUGCGAAGCUACCAUCUGUAGGAUUACGGCUGAACGCCUCUAAGCCGGAAUCCGCGCUGGAAGCAACGAUGUUUACCUCUCCGAAUUUUGACCGAGUA